RNAcentral lists this ribosomal RNA (453 nucleotides) under uncultured bacterium. Its description in RNAcentral is "partial 16S ribosomal RNA". It matches the Rfam family "Bacterial small subunit ribosomal RNA", at positions 28 to 523 of the family's 1533-position model. The record is from RNAcentral.
GAUGAACGCUGGCGGUCUGCUUAACACAUGCAAGUCGAACGGAAUCCUUCGGGAUUUAGUGGCGGACGGGUGAGUAACGCGUGAGAAUCUGCCUUCAGGUUCGGGACAACAGCUGGAAACGGCUGCUAAUACCGGAUGUGCCGAGAGGUGAAAGCUUUAGUGCCUGAAGAUGAGCUCGCGUCUGAUUAGCUAGUAGGAGUGGUAAUGGCACCCCUAGGCGACGAUCAGUAGCUGGUCUGAGGGGAUGAUCAGCCACACGGGGACUGAGACACGGCCCAGACUUCUACGGGGGGCAGCAGUGGGGAAUUUUCCGCAAUGGGGGAGAGCCUGACAGAGCAAGACCGCGUGGGGGGAGAAGGUCUGUGGAUUGUAAACCUCUUUUGACGGGGAAGAAGACAGUGACGGUACCCAUCGAAUCAGCCUCGGCUAACUCCGUGCCAGCCGCCGCCGUAA